GACGAACGCUGGCGGCGUGCUUAACACAUGCAAGUCGAACGAUGAAGACCAGCUUGCUGGUUGGAUUAGUGGCGAACGGGUGAGUAACACGUGAGUAACCUGCCCUUCACUCUGGGAUAACUCCGGGAAACCGGGGCUAAUACUGGGUAUGACCAAUCUCCGCAUGGAGUGUUGGUGGAAAGCUUUAGUGGUGAAGGAUGGACUCGCGGCCUAUCAGCUUGUUGGUGAGGUAAUGGCUCACCAAGGCGACGACGGGUAGCCGGCCUGAGAGGGCGACCGGCCACACUGGGACUGAGACACGGCCCAGACUCCUGCGGGAGGCAGCAGUGGGGAAUAUUGCACAAUGGGCGAAAGCCUGAUGCAGCGACGCCGCGUGAGGGAUGAAGGCCUUCGGGUUGUAAACCUCUUUCAUCAGGGAAGAAGCGAAAGUGACGGUACCUGAAAAAGAAGCACCGGCUAACUACGUGCCAGCAGCCGCGGUAAUACGUAGGGUGCGAGCGUUGUCCGGAAUUAUUGGGCGUAAAGAGCUUGUAGGCGGUUUGUCGCGUCUGCCGUGAAAAUUCGGGGCUUAACCCCGGACGUGCGG
RNAcentral lists this ribosomal RNA (586 nucleotides) under Austwickia chelonae. RNAcentral describes it as "bacterial SSU rRNA". It matches the Rfam family "Bacterial small subunit ribosomal RNA", at positions 28 to 626 of the family's 1533-position model. Lineage: Bacteria; Bacillati; Actinomycetota; Actinomycetes; Micrococcales; Dermatophilaceae. The record is from RNAcentral.